GUAAGUGAAGUCUUUCAAUCGGCUCGACCACCGAAGGCGAGCAGCGACAUCUGCGUUUCGGUCGUAUAGGCAGCACCGGUUCUCGGUGACUCCAUCCCCCACAGCUCCACCAACCAGCGCCAGAGCUGAAGUUGAACAUGUCAGAUUUCCUGCACUGUGUUAUUUGUCUUGUUGUUAUUUUCCUUGGAUGUCUAACAUACUGUCUUUCCUCUAUAAAUGUUCCUGAAUCCUGAUUCCAGAGCUGAUUUUAACUGCCUGGCUUCUUCUGCACGCUCACAUUUGCUUUGCAGCAUCGACCAGAAAGAAGGUAAAGUUUCACAUAAUGGCAGCAAUGUUUGAUCAAAGCUCAUGUGACGCACUCCAUUCUGUCAGCGCUGAUAAUCAUCUCAGGGGAAACUGUGUGGAAUUGAAUUCAGGUUUCACAAUAAUAAUGAUGCUUUCCUUAUCAGUGUAAAUGUGCAAAACAGACAAACUGGACCAACGGGUUUGACGGAUGCUUCGCGUUUUCACGCCAACCCUUAAAAUUGUAGCUUUUAAGGGUUGACAGUGAGAAGGAGGCGGAGCCUCUGCACCGCACUAACUGCUCCAGAGAGGGUGACUACAUAAGGCCGGGGGCAGUAAGUUCGCCUCCAUUGUCUUCAUCUGCUCCCACCAGGCUCCCCGUGUCUUCGGCCAUGGCCUCCGAUAGCCCCUCCUCCCAAGCAGCUUCCACCUACCUGACCGCGCACACCAACGAGAUGGUGGAGCUGCAGCACCUGAACGGCCGCUUAACCAGCUACAUCGAGAGGUUGCACUUCCUGGAGCAGCAGAACCAGACGCUGGCGGCGGAGGUGAAGCGGCUGCGAGGCCGUAAGCUCACGCGCUUUGAAAGGCUCAUGGAGCAGACUCCCCAGAAGGAGGACGUGGAGAGCAACCUGGCUGCUUCCGGGGGGGUGACGCCUGUGUAGCGUGUCUCCACCCACAGCUUCUCCACAACGCAGAAGAAGCUCCUCCUGACGUUUCUCCUCAACAUUGUUAAGGAACAACAAGGCAGCUCGCUGAGGUAGAGUGAAGAAAAGAGGAUGUCUUCAGAGAUACAGAACAGCGGAGCGAAGUGAAUGACCAGCGAGAGAAGAGGCCUAAGGGGCACGUGUGAGGGAGUAACGCUGUACAUCAGUAACAACGUUGUAUCUUUACCGUGAAGGACAUGAGUGAGUCUCUGUACCUGCAACAUCUGCUCCACCGUCAGCUUCAUCAACGGGUCGACAUCAUGUGAGGAGGAGCAGAGAGAAGAAGAGACGACGAGGGACAAGAACAUAGAGACUCUUCUGGGUUAAAGCGUGAGCAGCAGAGUGAUGCUGUUAUUCACUCUAUUGGGAUGUAUUUAUCUGUGGUUUAAUGUAUAUAUAUUAUAUUAUAUUUCCGAGAAUAACUGAGACGGACUUGAUUUGUUUUUUGUAUCAAUUCACAAUAAAAUGAACAUAAUUGCAUCAGAGAGGCUGCUGACAAAUAAAAGAAUUUUCCAAUGGCCUAAAAAAUAAAACACUGCAUGAACUUCCUGAUUUCUGUCUAUUUAAGUUAAAUGGAAUGAGGAAACAUUUAUUGUCAUAAUUUGUCAGACAUACAAGGAAUGUGACUUGGCGGUUGGUGCGUAACAGCAGAC
Molecule: long non-coding RNA, 1642 nt
Organism: Gasterosteus aculeatus aculeatus (three-spined stickleback)
Lineage: Eukaryota; Metazoa; Chordata; Actinopteri; Perciformes; Gasterosteidae
Source: Ensembl